This 807-nucleotide ribosomal RNA is filed under the name uncultured bacterium. Its description in RNAcentral is "bacterial SSU rRNA". It matches the Rfam family "Bacterial small subunit ribosomal RNA", at positions 61 to 860 of the family's 1533-position model. The record is from RNAcentral.
GUCGAGGGGCAGCGGGGUAGUGCUUGCACUACUGCCGGCGACCGGCGCACGGGUGAGUAACACGUAUGGAACCUGCCCGCAGCAGGGGGAUAAGCGGAAGAAAUUCCGUCUAAUACCGCGUAACAACGUUGGGAGGCAUCUCCCGAUGUUUAAAGAUUUAUCGGCUGCGGAUGGCCAUGCGGCGCAUUAGCUAGUCGGCGGGGUAACGGCCCACCGAGGCGACGAUGCGUAGGGGUUCUGAGAGGAAGGUCCCCCACACUGGUACUGAGACACGGACCAGACUCCUACGGGAGGCAGCAGUGAGGAAUAUUGGUCAAUGGCCGAGAGGCUGAACCAGCCAAGUCGCGUGAGGGAAGACGGCCCUACGGGUUGUAAACCUCUUUUGUCGGGGAGCAAAGAGAGCCACGUGUGGUUCAUUGAGAGUACCCGAAGAAAAAGCAUCGGCUAACUCCGUGCCAGCAGCCGCGGUAAUACGGAGGAUGCGAGCGUUAUCCGGAUUUAUUGGGUUUAAAGGGUGCGCAGGCGGAGGUGCAAGUCAGCGGCAAAUUGCGGGGCUCAACCCCGUACUGCCGUUGAAACUGCAUCCCUUGAGUGCGCGAGAAGUAUGCGGAAUGCGUGGUGUAGCGGUGAAAUGCAUAGAUAUCACGCAGAACUCCGAUUGCGAAGGCAGCAUACCGGCGCGCAACUGACGCUCAUGCACGAAAGCGUGGGUAUCGAACAGGAUUAGAUACCCUGGUAGUCCACGCAGUAAACGAUGAACACUAACUGUUCGGCCAAAGUGAUGGCUGAGUGGUACAGCGAAAGCGU